CAGUAGCCGCGGUAAUACAGAGGAUGCAAGCGUUAUCCGGAAUGAUUGGGCGUAAAGCGUCUGUAGGUGGCUUUUCAAGUCCGCCGUCAAAUCCCAGGGCUCAACCCUGGACAGGCGGUGGAGACUACCAAGCUGGAGUACGGUAGGGGCAGAGGGAAUUUCCGGUGGAGCGGUGGAAUGCGUUGAGAUCGGAAAGAACACCAACGGCGAAAGCACUCUGCUGGGCCGACACUGACACUGAGAGACGGAAGCUAGGGGAGCAAAUGGGAUUAGAGACCCCUGUAGUCCCUGUCUCUUAUAC
This 301-nucleotide ribosomal RNA is filed under the name uncultured bacterium. RNAcentral's name for it is "partial 16S ribosomal RNA". It matches the Rfam family "Bacterial small subunit ribosomal RNA", at positions 509 to 807 of the family's 1533-position model. The record is from RNAcentral.